RNAcentral lists this long non-coding RNA (1453 nucleotides) under Cottoperca gobio. Its description in RNAcentral is "lncRNA (ENSCGOG00000014184.1)". Lineage: Eukaryota; Metazoa; Chordata; Actinopteri; Perciformes; Bovichtidae. The record is from RNAcentral.
GGCGGGGCUUUCUGACUUUAAAUACCGUCGUUACUGGAAACAGUCUACAGAUAAAUGAGGACGGCGCUUCAGAUGUCUUCAUAUCCAUAACCCAUAUUUAAAUAAAUAUCUGUUUUUGUCUUACUAGAAGAGGCUAACAGAGUUUGUCUAACUGGUACAGAGAUUUGACUGAUUAUUUAUGAAUAAUAAUAAAUUGAAUUUUCUGUUCAAGACCUCAAAGCCGCUUUAUGGGAACGACUCCCUGUUGAUCUGAGAGGCGUCACCCUGAGACACAUUUGAUAUAUGUCUGGCCUUUUUAUUGUCUCUUAUCUUUGUUGCUGCUCUUAAAAACUCACCUUUUAAGUUAUAUUUUUGGGCUUUUUAUGCCUUUCAUGACAGAGAGAGAAGUGUAGAUCGUGCAUACAGCAAAUGGCCACAGGUCGGACUUGAACCACUGUGGCAAGGAUUCAGCCUUUGUAUAUGGGUUGCCUGUGCUACCGGGUGACCCACCAAGACACCCAAAAUUACUUAUUUUUUGAGUGUGAUCAUUUUUAUCAAGAUGUGGUGACCUGGAGGACAGGUGAGGCUUGUUAACCUGGAGGACAGGUGAGGCUCGUUAACGAGCAGCAGAGACUGAAGGAGACUCAGGGGAGCAAACACUCAGCCCAGGUUUUGGUGCAGGAUGGAGCAGCCUGAGGUUCUGUCCACCAUCGACCCGGCCGCUCUGCUGAUGGCAGAGGAUGAAGGCGUGAAGAAGAGCAGCAGCUGUGUGUUCUUGGAGCGACACCGCAGGAAACGCAUCACUCAGAGCUGCAGGGCGCUGCGACAGCUUCUACCCACAAUCCACAGCAGCGGCCAUGUUGACAUGGUGAGAGUGCUGGAGACAACGGUGGCUUUCCUGGAGAUGGUCCAGGAAAUAGUCAGUGCCGAAGAACAAAAGAUACAGUUGUGUCCUCCUGCUGAGCUUCAUGCUGAUUGGCUGCUACAGAGUCAGGAUAGUAGGGAUGUUGGACACAAAAUGGCCGCCGAGCAGCAGAAGAAGAAGAACAGGAGCGGAGGCGUCCUGUUGAAGAAGAGGGCGAGCAGGAGACAGCCAGACAGACAGCUUCCUGUCUGUCUGUAACUUCAUGUCGCCAUGGUGACAAGGAUCACAGUAUCCUGUAUUAAUAAUAAUUCUUACAGUUUGGGUCUUUUAUUUUGGAAGAACUGAUUUCCUGUAAAGAUUAAAGUGUUUGAUUUUUGUUGUAAAUUAUUUUAUUUUUAUUUUGUUCAAAAGUUGUACUUCCUGUUGCCAUGUCUAUGUUUCAAUAUAACGAAUAUUUCAAUAAUUAAUCAACAUUUCAGUUUCAUGAUUUAAUAUAAUUUAUAUAGGGGGCAGGCAUAACAAAAUGUAGGGUUUAAAGGUGCAUGAAAAAAACUGAGACAAGUGCCGGAAAGGUCAUUUUUCAAAAUAAAAUACCCUGCAGACUAAUAU